GAUGAAGAACGUAGCGAAAUGCGAUAAGUAAUGUGAAUUGCAGAAUUCAGUGAAUCAUCGAGUCUUUGAACGCACAUUGCGCCCCCUGGUAUUCCGGGGGGCAUGCCUGUCCGAGCGUCAUUGCUGCCCUCAAGCACGGCUUGUGUGUUGGGCCCCCGUCCCCGGUUCUCCCCGGGGACGGGCCCGAAAGGCAGCGGCGGCACCGCGUCCGAUCCUCGAGCGUAUGGGGCUUUGUCACCCGCUCUGUAGGCCCGGCCGGCGCCAGCCGACACCCCAACUUUAUUUUCUAAGGUUGACCUCGGAUCAGGUAGGGAUACCCGCUGAACUUAAGCAUAUCAAAAGCGGAGGA
RNAcentral lists this unclassified non-coding RNA (349 nucleotides) under soil metagenome. Its description in RNAcentral is "partial contains 5.8S ribosomal RNA, internal transcribed spacer 2, and large subunit ribosomal RNA". The stretch from base 1 to 120 matches the Rfam family "5.8S ribosomal RNA", at positions 35 to 154 of the family's 154-position model. The record is from RNAcentral.